GAUGAACGCUGGCGGCGUGCCUAAUACAUGCAAGUCGAGCGAACAGAUAAGGAGCUUGCUCCUUUGACGUUAGCGGCGGACGGGUGAGUAACACGUGGAUAACCUACCUAUAAGACUGGGAUAACUUCGGGAAACCGGAGCUAAUACCGGAUAACAUAUUGAACCGCAUGGUUCAAUAGUGAAAGGCGGCUUUGCUGUCACUUAUAGAUGGAUCCGCGCCGUAUUAGCUAGUUGGUAAGGUAACGGCUUACCAAGGCAACGAUACGUAGCCGACCUGAGAGGGUGAUCGGCCACACUGGAACUGAGACACGGUCCAGACUCCUACGGGAGGCAGCAGUAGGGAAUCUUCCGCAAUGGGCGAAAGCCUGACGGAGCAACGCCGCGUGAGUGAUGAAGGUCUUCGGAUCGUAAAACUCUGUUAUCAGGGAAGAACAAAUGUGUAAGUAACUGUGCACAUCUUGACGGUACCGGAUCAGAAAGCCACGGCUAACUACGUG
Molecule: ribosomal RNA, 497 nt
Filed under: uncultured bacterium
Lineage: Bacteria
Description: partial 16S ribosomal RNA
Rfam family: Bacterial small subunit ribosomal RNA
Source: RNAcentral